AUUGAACGCUGGCGGCAUGCUUUACACAUGCAAGUCGAACGGUAACAGGCCUUCGGGUGCUGACGAGUGGCGAACGGGUGAGUAAUGCAUCGGAACGUACCCAGAGGUGGGGGAUAACGCAGCGAAAGCUGUGCUAAUACCGCAUGUGAUCUGAGGAUGAAAGCGGGGGACCGAGCAGCAAUGUUUGGCCUCGCGCCUUUGGAGCGGCCGAUGUCGGAUUAGCUAGUUGGUGGGGUAAAGGCCUACCAAGGCGACGAUCCGUAGCUGGUCUGAGAGGACGAACAGACACACUGGGACUGAGACACGGCCCAGACUCCUACGGGAGGCAGCAGUGGGGAAUUUUGGACAAUGGGCGCAAGCCUGAUCCAGCAAUGCCGCGUGCGGGAAGAAGGCCUUCGGGUUGUAAACCGCUUUUGGCAGGAACGAAACGGUGUCCGCUAAUACCGGGCGCUAAUGACGGUACCUGCAGAAUAAGCACCGGCUAACUACGUG
RNAcentral lists this ribosomal RNA (492 nucleotides) under uncultured bacterium. Its description in RNAcentral is "partial 16S ribosomal RNA". It matches the Rfam family "Bacterial small subunit ribosomal RNA", at positions 29 to 507 of the family's 1533-position model. The record is from RNAcentral.